GAAGCGGCAACAGCUCAAAUUUGAAAUCUGACCCUUGGGGUCCGAGUUGUAAUUUGCAGAGGGUGUUUCGGGCACGGUGCCGGUUUAAGUCCUUUGGAACAGGGUGUCAUAGAGGGUGAGAACCCCGUAUGUGACCGGUCGCCAAACCUAUGUGAAACCCCUUCGACGAGUCGAGUUGUUUGGGAAUGCAGCUCAAAAUGGGUGGUAAAUUUCAUCUAAAGCUAAAUAUUGGCCAGAGACCGAUAGCGCACAAGUAGAGUGAUCGAAAGAUGAAAAGCACUUUGGAAAGAGAGUCAAACAGCACGUGAAAUUGUUGAAAGGGAAGCGCUUGCGACCAGACCUGCUCGCGGGUGAUCAGCGGUGCUUUUCGCGCCGUGCACUCAUCCGCGAUCAGGCCAGCAUCGGUUCAGGCGGCCGGACAAAGACUCGGAGAAUGUAGCUCCCUCCGGGGAGUGUUAUAGCUCCUUGUGCAAUACGGCCAGCCGGGACCGAGGACCGCGCUUCGGCUAGGAUGCUGGCGUAAUGGUCGUAAGCGACCCGUCUUGAAACACGGACCAAGGAGUCUAACAUCUGUGCGAGUGUUUGGGCGUUAAACCCAUGCGCGCAAUGAAAGUGAACGUGAGGUGGGAACCCUCUCGGGGGCGCACCAUCGACCGAUCCAGAUGUCUUCGGAUGGAUUUGAGUAAGAGCACAGCUGUUGGGACCCGAAAGAUGGUGAACUAUGCCUGAAUAGGGUGAAGCCAGAGGAAACUCUGGUGGAGGCUCGCAGCGGUUCUGACGUGCAAAUCGAUCGUCAAAUUUGGGUAUAGGGGCGAAAGACUAAUCGA
Molecule: ribosomal RNA, 827 nt
Filed under: Psora decipiens
Lineage: Eukaryota; Fungi; Ascomycota; Lecanoromycetes; Lecanorales; Psoraceae
Description: LSU rRNA
Rfam family: Eukaryotic large subunit ribosomal RNA
Source: RNAcentral